This 405-nucleotide ribosomal RNA is filed under the name uncultured bacterium. Its description in RNAcentral is "partial 16S ribosomal RNA". It matches the Rfam family "Bacterial small subunit ribosomal RNA", at positions 30 to 526 of the family's 1533-position model. The record is from RNAcentral.
AUUGAACGCUGGCGGCAGGCUUAACACAUGCAAGUCGCACGAGUGGCGGACGGGUGAGUAAUGCUUGGGAAUCUACCUUAUGGCGGGGGAUAACUACGGGAAACUGUAUCUAAUCCCGCGUACCAUAGGAUGAGCCCAAGUGGGAUUAGGUAGUUGGUGGGGUAAAGGCUCACCAAGCCGACGAUCUCUAGCUGGUCUGAGAGGAUGACCAGCAAAACUGGGACUGAGACACGGCCCAGACGCCGACGGGAGGAAGCAGUGGGGAAUAUUGCGCAAUGGGGGCAACCUGACGCAGCCAUGCCGCGUGAAUGAAGAAGGCCUUCGGGUGGUAAAGUACUUGCGGUGACGAGGCGUUAACUGCAGAAGAAGCACCGGCUAACUCCGUGCCAGCAGCCGCGGUAAUAC